GACGAACGCUGGCGGCGUGCUUAACACAUGCAAGUCGAACGAUGAAGCCUUAACUUGCUUUGGCGGAUUAGUGGCGAACGCGUGAGUAACACGUGAGCAACGCGCCCAGGACUCUGGAAUAACCGUUGGAAAACGUGGCUAAUAUCGGAUAGGUGCCGAGGCCGCAUGGUCUUCGGAAGGAAAGUAUUUGCGGUAUUGGAUCGGCUCACGGCCCAUCAGCUCGUUGGCGGGGUAAUGACCUACCAAGGCGCCGACGGGUCGCCGACCUGCGAAGGUGACCGGCGACACUGGGACUGAGGCACGGCGCAGACGCCUACGGGAGGCAGCAGUGGAGAGUAUUGCACAGUGAGCGCGAGCCUGAUGCAGCGACGCCGCGUGGGGGAUGACGGCCUUCGAGUUGUAAACCUCUUUUUGUAGGGAAGAAGCGAAAGUGACGGUACCUACAGAGAAAGCACCGGCUAACUACGUG
RNAcentral lists this ribosomal RNA (469 nucleotides) under uncultured bacterium. Its description in RNAcentral is "partial 16S ribosomal RNA". It matches the Rfam family "Bacterial small subunit ribosomal RNA", at positions 28 to 507 of the family's 1533-position model. The record is from RNAcentral.